Molecule: ribosomal RNA, 714 nt
Filed under: uncultured bacterium
Lineage: Bacteria
Description: bacterial SSU rRNA
Rfam family: Bacterial small subunit ribosomal RNA
Source: RNAcentral
CCGAGCGUUNUCCGGAUUUAUUGGGCGUAAAGCGAGCGCAGGCGGUUAGAUAANUCUGAAGUUAAAGGCUGUGGCUUAACCAUAGUACGCUUUGGAAACUGUUUAACUUGAGUGCAGAAGGGGAGAGUGGANUUCCAUGUGUAGCGGUGAAAUGCGUAGAUAUAUGGAGGANCACCGGUGGCGAAAGCGGCUCUCUGGUCUGUAACUGACGCUGAGGCUCGAAAGCGUGGGGAGCGAACAGGAUUAGAUACCUUGGUAGUNCACGCCGUAAACGAUGAGUGCUAGGUGUUAGGCCCUUUCCGGGGCCUAGUGCCGCAGCUAACGCAUUAAGCACUCCGCCUGGGGAGUACGACCGCAAGGUUGAAACUCAAAGGAAUUGACGGGGGCCCGCACAAGCGGUGGAGCAUGUGGUUUAAUUCGAAGCAACGCGAAGAACCUUACCAGGUCUUGACAUCCCGAUGCCCGCUCUAGAGAUAGAGUUUUACUUCGGUACAUCGGUGACAGGUGGUGCAUGGUUGUCGUCAGCUCGUGUCGUGAGAUGUUGGGUUAAGUCCCGCAACGAGCGCAACCCUUAUUGUUAGUUGCCAUCAUUCAGUUGGGCACUCUAGCGAGACUGCCGGUAAUAAACCGGAGGAAGGUGGGGAUGACGUCAAAUCAUCAUGCCCCUUAUGACCUGGGCUACACACGUGCUACAAUGGCUGGUACAACGAGUCG